AUGGGAGGGCUCUGCUGUACCUUGCAGACGAAAUGUCUGUUGAACAAAAAGACUCACAAGACAGUGAAGGUUUCUAUCAUCAGAUCUGUGCUUGAUGUUACAAGGGACCCACCAGACCUUGGAAAUUCAGUACUUCAAUCAGCUGUCAUGACUAGCUCAGAUUUGAAUGACUCUACCAUUGAAUUCCUGCAGAACCUCAACGACACAACACGCACCUCUGAGGGUACAACCCCUGAGCACUACCAGUCUGUUUCAGCUACCAUAUGGAUAUAUUUCUUUACCACCAGCCCAUUGGUCAAUAGUGCUGCUGAGACAAGAUCCUACAAAUCGUAAGUGGUGGGAAUGAGGGCUGGGACUGUGCUGAGAUACUGUCAAACUGUGGAGAGAGAGAGAACAUGGCUGACUUUCUGACAAGUCAUUGGUUAGGCUGUGACUAAAUCACUUUCUGCUACUGUUGGGUGGCUGAAUUCAGCCCACAAACCCAAUCAGAACACAAGCCCAUGAAUUGGGGCAGU
RNAcentral lists this long non-coding RNA (515 nucleotides) under Meleagris gallopavo (turkey). RNAcentral describes it as "lncRNA (ENSMGAG00000022218.1)". The record is from RNAcentral. Lineage: Eukaryota; Metazoa; Chordata; Aves; Galliformes; Phasianidae.